CUGAGUACGGCGGAACACGUGAAAUUCCGUCGGAAUCCGGGAGGACCAUCUCCCAAGGCUAAAUACUCCCUAGUGACCGAUAGUGAACCAGUACCGUGAGGGAAAGGUGAAAAGCACCCCGGAAGGGGAGUGAAACAGUUCCUGAAACCGUGUGCCUACAAGUAGUUAGAGCCCGUUAAUGGGUGAUAGCGUGCCUUUUGUAGAAUGAACCGGCGAGUUACGAUUUGUUGCAAGGUUAAGCGGAAAAAGCGGAGCCGUAGCGAAAGCGAGUCUGAAUAGGGCGCAUAAGUAACAGGUCGUAGACCCGAAACCAGGUGAUCUACCCAUGUCCAGGAUGAAGGUAAGGUAAUACUUACUGGAGGUCCGAACCCACGCACGUUGAAAAGUGCGGGGAUGAGGUGUGGGUAGCGGAGAAAUUCCAAUCGAACUUGGAGAUAGCUGGUUCUCUCCGAAAUAGCUUUAGGGCUAGCCUCGAGGUAAAGAGUCAUGGAGGUAGAGCACUGUUUGGACUAGGGGCCCUUCUCGGGUUACCGAAUUCAGAUAAACUCCGAAUGCCAUGUACUUAUACUCGGGAGUCAGACUGCGAGUGAUAAGAUCCGUAGUCGAAAGGGAAACAGCCCAGACCACCAGUUAAGGUCCCCAAAUAUAUGUUAAGUGGAAAAGGAUGUGGGGUUGCUUAGACAACCAGGAUGUUGGCUUAGAAGCAGCCACCAUUGAAAGAGUGCGUAAUAGCUCACUGGUCGAGUGACCCCGCGCCGAAAAUGUACCGGGGCUAAACAUAUUACCGAAACUGUGGAUGAACCUCUUUAGAGGUUCGUGGUAGGAGAGCGUUCUAAGGGCGGUGAAGUCAGACCGGAAGGACUGGUGGAGCGCUUAGAAGUGAGAAUGCCGGUAUGAGUAGCGAAAGAAGGGUGAGAAUCCCUUCCACCGAAUAUCUAAGGUUUCCUGA
RNAcentral lists this ribosomal RNA (949 nucleotides) under Listeria monocytogenes. RNAcentral describes it as "partial 23S ribosomal RNA". It matches the Rfam family "Bacterial large subunit ribosomal RNA", at positions 408 to 1358 of the family's 2925-position model. Lineage: Bacteria; Bacillati; Bacillota; Bacilli; Caryophanales; Listeriaceae. The record is from RNAcentral.